This 290-nucleotide ribosomal RNA is filed under the name uncultured bacterium. Its description in RNAcentral is "partial 16S ribosomal RNA". It matches the Rfam family "Bacterial small subunit ribosomal RNA", at positions 773 to 1060 of the family's 1533-position model. The record is from RNAcentral.
GUGGAUUAGAUACCCUAGUAGUCCUAGCCGUAAACGAUGGGCACUUGGUGUCGGGGGUAUUGAGUCCCUCGGUGCCGGAGUUAACACGUUAAGUGCCCCGCCUGGGGAGUACGGUCGCAAGACUGAAACUCAAAGGAAUUGACGGGGGCCCGCACAAGCGGUGGAGCAUGUGGUUCAAUUCGACGCAACGCGAAGAACCUUACCGGGGCUCGAACGGUAACUGAAAACCCUUGAAAGGGGGCUUUCUCUUCGGAGACGGUUAUCGAGGUGCUGCACGGCCGUCGACAGCU